GGGCUCCCAGGUGUUGGCCGUUUCUGGCCAGCCUCGCCACUUUAUGAGAUACUGAAGCUGACCCUUGCGGACCCGUUUGCGUCGAAUAGCUUCGAUUUCGAAGAAACCCUCAUCAAGCUUAGGCCGUUCUUCUUCAUCUUUCUCUUCCUCGUCCUCAUUCUCAUCCACGUCCUCAUCCUCAUCCUCAUCCUCUCCUUCACAUUCCUUCCGAUUCUCCUCAUUAUCAUCAACCCCAUCUCGUUCUUUCUCAUCAGCAGCAUUCCCUCCUUGAACAAAAACCUCUACCAUGUUGUGGCCAUCCUCGAAGGCAUUGUUCAAGGCCAUAUUGGGGCUUGCAGCUGCCUUCCUCUUCCCCUUCAUUUGGUA
This 366-nucleotide unclassified non-coding RNA is filed under the name Hevea brasiliensis (rubber tree). The record is from RNAcentral. Lineage: Eukaryota; Viridiplantae; Streptophyta; Magnoliopsida; Malpighiales; Euphorbiaceae.